Xyrauchen texanus (razorback sucker) is the source of this 425-nucleotide long non-coding RNA. RefSeq lists it as uncharacterized. The transcript is spliced from 3 exons. The record is from RefSeq and is a predicted model, not a curated record. NCBI's taxonomy places the organism in Eukaryota, Metazoa, Chordata, Actinopteri, Cypriniformes, Catostomidae.
UCCGUUGUGUAUGGUCACGGAGUACAUGGAGAGUGGAGACCUGAAUCAUUACCUCUCCCAGAGAGUGUUACUGGACAAGACUGGACCUCUACAUAAUUCACCAACCAUCAGGAACACACGUACACACAUUUGUCAUGGUUAGGAAGAAUUAUCAAAAUACAGAAAAGAAAAAUCUCUCUCUGUCUCUUUCUGUCUCAGUUACCCAGCUUUGAUCUCCAUGGCGAGUCAGAUUGCAUCAGAGGAGAGGGGGAGGACAGAGGUGAAGAGCGCUAACUUUGGCAUGAGCAGGAACCUCUAUGCUGGCGAUUACUACAGGAUCCAGGGCAGAGCUGUGCUGCCUCUUCGCUGGAUGGCAUUGGAGUGCAUACUCAUGGGGAAGUUCACUGCAGCAAGUGACGUAUGGUCAUUUGUUGUGACGCUGUGGG